Hibiscus syriacus is the source of this 260-nucleotide long non-coding RNA. RefSeq lists it as uncharacterized. The transcript is spliced from 3 exons. The record is from RefSeq and is a predicted model, not a curated record. NCBI's taxonomy places the organism in Eukaryota, Viridiplantae, Streptophyta, Magnoliopsida, Malvales, Malvaceae.
AGACUAAUAAUUUGCGAGAAGUGUAUCGUCUAAUUGCAAUGUCAGACACCAAUAUCGUAAAUAUCACCUUUGAUGAUAUUUUCACUGUUGAGUUGUAUCACCAUGUUGAUGCACAAGACUCAUCACUUGAUAGCAAGAAAGAAAAUCCAUCAACCUGUCCGAGAAUCAAGGAUUCAAAUGAGCUGAAGAAUUGUUUACAAGUUUGUUCACUUUUGCAUCUGGCAUGCCAAUAUGGGAAUCCUGUGAUGGUGGAGAUGCUG